AUUUAUAUAAUUUAACUAGAAUAUUGCAUUGAAGCUGCAAAAGUGAGUGCUCACUCUGUAAAUG
Molecule: transfer RNA, 64 nt
Filed under: Thalamita sima
Lineage: Eukaryota; Metazoa; Arthropoda; Malacostraca; Decapoda; Portunidae
Description: tRNA-Phe
Source: RNAcentral